Non-coding RNA from Gymnothorax javanicus (giant moray), 74 nucleotides. The record is from the annotation of a GenBank genome assembly. NCBI's taxonomy places the organism in Eukaryota, Metazoa, Chordata, Actinopteri, Anguilliformes, Muraenidae.
GGUGGGGUGGUGCAGUGGUUAAGCGUAGUAGGCUUGGAAUCAAAAGAUCCUGAGUUCAAGUCCUAGCCAUGGCU